Oreochromis aureus is the source of this 569-nucleotide long non-coding RNA. The record is from Ensembl. Lineage: Eukaryota; Metazoa; Chordata; Actinopteri; Cichliformes; Cichlidae.
UGCUCCGACGUUUUUGGAGAUGUCUAUUUUUUUUUUUCAUGCUUUGUGGCAGCUUUAGAACAUCUGUGGCAUCUAUUAAUGUCAAAUCUAGCCUUUAUUUAACAACAUAAGCAAACUCUAUGUUACAAUGAUUGCACAGCCAUUAAGGAUCAAAUCAGUUUCUGAAAAAUGUUCUGUUUUUUCUCCCUCUGCUUGCUUCUUACUGUCUUUGAGGCUCGGGACCAGCACUCCUGCUGUUGGACAGAAAGACAUCAACUUGAGAUAUGACUGCACUGUGCUGUUGCUGGUGACCACAGUUAAUUCUACAAGACAUGCUGUGACACCAGGAGAGAUGAGUCCUCCAUCACAGAUGGUGUGGUCAGUGAAGAUGGUCGCCUGCAGGUUCAAGCUCAUUGCAUCUCCAACCCACAUCCACUGCCACUGUACUGAAGGGAAGUUAAAGACUUUCUUCUGCACCUCACAUUUGGAUCACCUCGAUCCAUGACAGUCAUUCAGGCAGUAAUGCCUGGACUGGAAACAAGCCGUCCUUAAAAUAUUACAACAUUCCAGCUCAUGUGUUGGAAUGAAAA